Molecule: ribosomal RNA, 519 nt
Filed under: uncultured eukaryote
Lineage: Eukaryota
Description: SSU rRNA
Rfam family: Eukaryotic small subunit ribosomal RNA
Source: RNAcentral
AGGGCACCACCAGGAGUGGAGCCUGCGGCUCAAUUUGACUCAACACGGGAAAACUCACCCGGCCCGGACACCGUAAGGAUUGACAGAUUGAGAGCUCUUUCUUGAUUCGGUGGUUGGUGGUGCAUGGCCGUUCUUAGUUGGUGGAGCGAUUUGUCUGGUUCAUUCCGAUAACGAGCGAGACUCUAGCCUACUAAAUAGUGACCGGAUAGCUUGGUCCGGGUCACUUCUUAGAGGGACAAGCGGUGUUCAGCCGCAAUAAGUUGAGCAAUAACAGGUCUGUGAUGCCCUUAGAUGUCCGGGGCUGCACGCGCGCUACACUGGAGGAAUCAGCGUGCUUGACCCAUUGCCGAAAGGCAUUGGUAAACCCUUGAAAAUCCUCCGUGAUCGGGAUCGGGAAUUGCAAUUAUUUCCCUUGAACGAGGAAUUCCCAGUAAGUGUGAGUCAUCAGCUCACGUUGAUUACGUCCCUGCCCUUUGUACACACCGCCCGUCGCUGCCCGGGACUGAGCCGUUUCGAGAA